This is a non-coding RNA of Hydra vulgaris (swiftwater hydra), 696 nucleotides long. Lineage: Eukaryota; Metazoa; Cnidaria; Hydrozoa; Anthoathecata; Hydridae. The record is from RefSeq and is a predicted model, not a curated record.
UAAUCUGAAAAAAAAAGUUAGUUUGAAGUUUUUUUAUAUCAUAAAUUUAUUUGCUAUGAUUUUUUUAGCUGUUGUACCGUUAAACUGAAGUUGGCAAUAAAGUUUAGAGAAUUUUCUCUGGCUGAAUUUUUUAAAUCAAAAAACAACAAUGUGUGCCAUGAAUGUAAUCUGUUUUUCAUGUUGGAUCAAUGAAAAUUUAGUGUAUUGGCCAAAUCAUCUUGCCUUUAGGCUGCUGUAUGUGAAGCCACGCUUCUAAAAGUAACUGAAAGCAGCUGAAAAACAGAAUUUUUAGUUUAUUUUGAUAAACUUCCUUGAAUUGGAUGGAGGAGAUUAUUAAAAACAACAACUUAUCAACUUACAAUUUUAAUACAGCUAAUGGCUAAAAGAGUAUGUUUGUUAUACUCAAUGUAUGGAAACAAAGGUCAUUAUAGUAAUAGUGCGGGAAAUACGUUGUAUUCGUUCAAUUUGAAAUCGCUACGGACAAAAAUAUUAAAGAAAGAAUAGGCAGCUUUCUGGCCACGGCCAUUGAUAGAGAUGACGGAAGAAGAAAUAGAACCAAGACUGAGAAACGCCCAAUAUUUAGCAAUGAAAGUAUCGGCAAAAUAAUCUAAAUCAAUGCCCACUAUCUGAUAGUGAGAGUAUAAUGCAGUAGUUUAUUAAUAUAUAUAUAUAUAUAUAUAUAUAUAUACAUAUUUU